CAAGUUUCCCCCCCAAACGGUGCCAUUUUGAGGUGUGAGGGCGGUGCAAAACUCUGUCGUUUUAUACGGCUAUUUAAACCAAAAAAAAAUUAAAAAAAAAUCAUUUCAGCCUCUUUUUUUUAAAAUAAAAUAAACUUUCGAAACCCCUUUUUUCUUUUUUCUCUACUAGGGUUUUAAACACUAGCCUUUGCGCCGCCGUCGCCUAUCUGCCACCUUAUACGGUGGCCGACGUUCCUAAAGUCCCUUUUUUAGCCGAUUUCAGCCUCCUUAAACCUGAUUUAAAGGAAAAAUACCCCAAAUCCCUCCAAAAAACAAAAAACAAAAAAUGGAAGAGAAAAGAACAAAAACUAAGGCCCUUCGCCUCCCUAUCCGGGACGGUGAUAUUUCUGACGAAACUCGAAGGUUUGGCUGCCCAAACUCCGACCGCAGGCACGAGGUGAGCGAUUUCUUUAUUUUAAAAUAUGUAUCAAUAUAUACUUGCUAUGUUGUGAAUAGAUGUGCAGCAUAAAAAGAAAAUACUAAAAGGAUUCUUACUUUCUAUCUUGAGAGUUUUUUGCUUUCAAUCUGAUUUUUUUUUAUUUCAAAAAUCCCCCCUUUUACAUUCGGUUUUUGGUGGCUUUAUAGCUGAUUACACUGUUUUCCGUCACUGUUUGCUAUUGUUCUCUAUUGUAUUAUUUGUUUGCUUGUCACGUUGCUUCUGUUUCUGUCUCUGCUUUGCUUCUGUUCUGUUUCGCAGGUUGCUAAGAGGUCAACGGGGUUGGUGCAAGGCCGAGCAGAGGGGGUCAGGCCUCGAGACCAGGCGCGGGCGGUGCGCUCGAGGCACACGGGGGCAAACGACGCCUAGAGUUUCUGCUUCCCUCUUUUGGCUGAAGUUUGUUUAGAUCUUGGGCCUAUCGGAACGUUAGGGUUUUUUGUUGUUUGGGCUGUUGGGGUUGUAAUAUUUGGACUGUUAAUAUUGGACUUUUAUUUGGUUUUAUUAUUUUUUAAUUUUGGUUUAUAACGGGCCGAACAAAUUGGGCCUGUUACAACUAAUAUAUAAAAAUGUUUAAAAGAAAUGAAAUAUACAAUUUAAAAUGGGGCUCUUAAAAUGAACCAAUUAUAUACAUAAAUAGAUUUAAGAAACUGU
RNAcentral lists this long non-coding RNA (1126 nucleotides) under Gossypium barbadense (sea-island cotton). RNAcentral describes it as "long non-coding RNA (GBAR_LNC004761)". The record is from RNAcentral. Lineage: Eukaryota; Viridiplantae; Streptophyta; Magnoliopsida; Malvales; Malvaceae.